UCAAACCAUUUAACCUUCUAACCCAUCAAGUUAAAUGAGUUUAUGGGUUGACUCAUUUGCUAAAUGAGUUGAGUCAACCCAUGAACUCAUUUAACUCUAAACUCAUUGGGUAAUGAGU
Molecule: microRNA precursor, 118 nt
Filed under: Arabidopsis lyrata subsp. lyrata
Lineage: Eukaryota; Viridiplantae; Streptophyta; Magnoliopsida; Brassicales; Brassicaceae
Description: pre miRNA MIR405
Source: RNAcentral